RNAcentral lists this ribosomal RNA (371 nucleotides) under uncultured bacterium. RNAcentral's name for it is "bacterial SSU rRNA". It matches the Rfam family "Bacterial small subunit ribosomal RNA", at positions 527 to 896 of the family's 1533-position model. The record is from RNAcentral.
GUAGGAUGCGAGCGUUGUUCGGAAUUACUGGGCGUAAAGAGUACGUAGGCGGUUUGGUAAGUCUGCUAUUAAAGACCGGGGCUCAACUUCGGGAGUGUAGUGGAAACUGUCAGACUAGAGGACAAUAGAGGAAGUCGGAAUUCUCAGUGUAGCGGUGAAAUGCGUAGAUAUUGGGAAGAACACCAGUGGCGAAAGCGGACUUCUGGGUUGUUACUGACGCUGAGGUACGAAAGCGUGGGGAGCAAACGGGAUUAGAUACCCCGGUAGUCCACGCUGUAAACGAUGGAUACUAGGUGUAGCCGGUCUCGACCCCGGCUGUGCCGUAGCAAACGCAAUAAGUAUCCCGCCUGGGGAGUAUGGCCGCAAGGUUG